RNAcentral lists this ribosomal RNA (437 nucleotides) under uncultured Alphaproteobacteria bacterium. RNAcentral describes it as "bacterial SSU rRNA". It matches the Rfam family "Bacterial small subunit ribosomal RNA", at positions 98 to 570 of the family's 1533-position model. The record is from RNAcentral. Lineage: Bacteria; Pseudomonadati; Pseudomonadota; Alphaproteobacteria.
GGCAACGGGUGAGUAUAAUGUGGGAAUCUGCCUUUUGGUUCGGAAUAACACGGGGAAACUUGUACUAAUACCGGAUAAGCCUUCACAGGGAAAGUUUUAAUGCCAAAAGAUGAGCCCGCACUUGAUUAGCUAGUUGGUAAGGUAAUGGCUUACCAAGGCAACGAUCAAUAGCUGUUCUUAGAGGAAGACCAGCCACAUUGGGACUGAGACACGGCCCAAACUCCUACGGGAGGCAGCAGUGGGGAAUCUUGCACAAUGGGGGAAACCCUGAUGCAGCGAUGCCGCGUGAGUGAAGAAGGCCCUUGGGUUGUAAAACUCUUUCGUCGAGGAAGAAAAUGACUGUACUCGAAUAAGAAGGUCCGGCUAACUUCGUGCCAGCAGCCGCGGUAAUACGAAGGGACCUAGCGUAGUUCGGAAUUACUGGGCUUAAAGAGUUC